Molecule: ribosomal RNA, 252 nt
Filed under: uncultured bacterium
Lineage: Bacteria
Description: partial 16S ribosomal RNA
Rfam family: Bacterial small subunit ribosomal RNA
Source: RNAcentral
UACGUAGGGUGCAAGCGUUGUCCGGAAUUAUUGGGCGUAAAGAGCUCGUAGGCGGUCUGUCGCGUCUGCUGUGAAAACUCGGGCGUACCCGGCUCGCAGUGGGUGACGGGCAGACUAGAGUGCGGUAGGGGGAGACUGGAAUUCCUGGUGUAGCGGUGAAAUGCGCAGAUAUCAGGAGGAACACCGGUGGCGAAGGCGGCAUCCUGGACCGAUACUGACGCUGAGGCGCGAAAGCGUGGGGGAGCGAACAGG